Molecule: ribosomal RNA, 1505 nt
Filed under: Candidatus Arsenophonus triatominarum
Lineage: Bacteria; Pseudomonadati; Pseudomonadota; Gammaproteobacteria; Enterobacterales; Morganellaceae
Description: 16S ribosomal RNA
Rfam family: Bacterial small subunit ribosomal RNA
Source: RNAcentral
GCGGCAAGCCUAACACAUGCAAGUCGAGCGGCAGCGGAAGGAAGCUUGCUUCCUUGCCGGCGAGCGGCGGACGGGUGAGUAAGGUAUGGGGAUCUGGCCGAAGGCGGGGGAUAACCACUGGAAACGGUGGCUAAUACCGCAUAAUCUCUAAGGAGCAAAGUGGGGGACCAUUAUGGCCUCACACCUUCGGAUGAACCCAUAUGAGAUUAGCUAGUAGGUGGGGUAAAGGCUCACCUAGGCGACGAUCUCUAGCUGGUCUGAGAGGAUGAUCAGCCACACUGGGACUGAGACACGGCCCAGACUCCUACGGGAGGCAGCAGUGGGGAAUAUUGCACAAUGGGCGCAAGCCUGAUGCAGCCAUGCCGCGUGUAUGAAGAAGGCCUUCGGGUUGUAAAGUACUUUCAGUCGUGAGGAAGGUGUUAAGGUUAAUAGCCUUAGCAAUUGACGUUAGCGACAGAAGAAGCACCGGCUAACUCCGUGCCAGCAGCCGCGGUAAUACGGAGGGUGCGAGCGUUAAUCGAAAUUACUGGGCGUAAAGGGCACGCAGGCGGUUAAUUAAGUUGGAUGUGAAAUCCCCGGGCUUAACCUGGGAAUGGCAUUCAAGACUGGUUAGCUAGAGUCUUGUAGAGGGGGGUAGAAUUCCAUGUGUAACGGUGAAAUGCGUAGAGAUGUGGAGGAAUACCGGUGGCGAAGGCGGCUCCCUGGACAAAGACUGACGCUCAUGUGCGAAAGCGUGGGGAGCAAACAGGAUUAGAUACCCUGGUAGUCCACGCUGUAAACGAUGUCGAUUUGGAGGUUGUGGUCUAGAACUGUGGCCUCCGGAGCUAACGCGUUAAAUCGACCGCCUGGGGAGUACGGCCGCAAGGUUAAAACUCAAAUGAAUUGACGGGGGCCCGCACAAGCGGUGGAGCAUGUGGUUUAAUUCGAUGCAACGCGAAGAACCUUACCUACUCUUGACAUCCAGCGAAGCCUUUAGAGAUAGAGGUGUGCCUUCGGGAGCGCUGAGACAGGUGCUGCAUGGCUGUCGUCAGCUCGUGUUGUGAAAUGUUGGGUUAAGUCCCGCAACGAGCGCAACCCUUAUCCUUUGUUGCCAGCGAUUCGGUCGGGAACUCAAAGGAGACUGCCGGUGAUAAACCGGAGGAAGGUGGGGAUGACGUCAAGUCAUCAUGGCCCUUACGAGUAGGGCUACACACGUGCUACAAUGGCGUAUACAGAGAGAGGCGAGCCUGCGAGGGGAAGCGGAACUCAGAAAGUACGUCAAAGUCCGGAUUGGAGUCUGCAACUCGACUCCAUGAAGUCGGRAUCGCUAGUAAUCGCGGAUCAGCAUGUCGCGGUGAAUCCGUUCCCGGGCCUUGUACACACCGCCCGUCACACCAUGGGAGUGGGUUGCAAAAGAAGUAGGUAGCUUAACCUUUUGGAUGGCGCUUACCACUUUGUGAUUCAUGACUGGGGUGAAGUCGUAACAAGGUAACCGUAGGGGAACCUGCGGUUGGAUCACCUCCUUA